UCUUCUCAUCUUCUUUACCUUGUAUGUUUCGCUUUUUCUAUUCUAAUAUUUCAUCUCUUAUGUUCUUUCUUUUUUAUCUUUUAUGUUUACUAUUUUCUCUUCCAAUUAGUUUUUAUCGCACAUUUCUUCUCAAUCCCGCAUCUCAUAUGUUCUUUUUUUCAUCUUCUCUAAUCUCUCUUCUCAUAUAUUUUUUAUGUUUUAUUAUAAUUUCU
This 212-nucleotide long non-coding RNA is filed under the name Lathyrus oleraceus (garden pea). RNAcentral's name for it is "Pisum sativum (pea) long non-coding RNA (PSAT_LNC039596)". Lineage: Eukaryota; Viridiplantae; Streptophyta; Magnoliopsida; Fabales; Fabaceae. The record is from RNAcentral.